UACGUAGGGUCCGAGCGUUGUCCGGAAUUAUUGGGCGUAAAGGGCUCGUAGGCGGUCUGUUGCGUCGGGAGUGAAAACUUACAGCUUAACUGUGAGCGUGCUUUCGAUACGGGCAGACUUGAGGCAUUCAGGGGAGAACGGAAUUCCUGGUGUAGCGGUGAAAUGCGUAGAUAUCUGGAGGAAUACCGGUGGCGAAGGCGGCAUCCUGGACCGGCAUUGACGCUGAGGAGCGAAAGCUAGGGGAGCAAACGGG
This 253-nucleotide ribosomal RNA is filed under the name uncultured bacterium. Its description in RNAcentral is "partial 16S ribosomal RNA". It matches the Rfam family "Bacterial small subunit ribosomal RNA", at positions 524 to 776 of the family's 1533-position model. The record is from RNAcentral.